RNAcentral lists this ribosomal RNA (736 nucleotides) under Brevibacterium sp. 201264276. Its description in RNAcentral is "bacterial SSU rRNA". It matches the Rfam family "Bacterial small subunit ribosomal RNA", at positions 46 to 788 of the family's 1533-position model. The record is from RNAcentral. Lineage: Bacteria; Bacillati; Actinomycetota; Actinomycetes; Micrococcales; Brevibacteriaceae.
GCUUAACACAUGCAAGUCGAACGCUGAAGCACUGUGCUUGCACGGUGUGGAUGAGUGGCGAACGGGUGAGUAACACGUGAGUAACCUGCCCCUGACUUCGGGAUAAGCCUGGGAAACUGGGUCUAAUACCGGAUAUGACUACUGGCCGCAUGGUCUGGUGGUGGAAAGGGUUUUACUGGUUGGGGAUGGACUCGCGGCCUAUCAGUUUGUUGGUGGGGUAGUGGCCUACCAAGACGACGACGGGUAGCCGGCCUGAGAGGGCGACCGGCCACACUGGGACUGAGACACGGCCCAGACUCCUACGGGAGGCAGCAGUGGGGAAUAUUGCACAAUGGGGGGAACCCUGAUGCAGCGACGCCGCGUGCGGGAUGACGGCCUUCGGGUUGUAAACCGCUUUCAGUAGGGAAGAAGCGAAAGUGACGGUACCUGCAGAAGAAGUACCGGCUAACUACGUGCCAGCAGCCGCGGUAAUACGUAGGGUACAAGCGUUGUCCGGAAUUAUUGGGCGUAAAGAGCUCGUAGGUGGUUGGUCACGUCUGCUGUGGAAACGCAACGCUUAACGUUGCGCGUGCAGUGGGUACGGGCUGACUAGAGUGCAGUAGGGGAGUCUGGAAUUCCUGGUGUAGCGGUGAAAUGCGCAGAUAUCAGGAGGAACACCGGUGGCGAAGGCGGGACUCUGGGCUGUAACUGACGCUGAGGAGCGAAAGCAUGGGGAGCGAACAGGAUUAGAUACCCU